UGGGGAAUAUUGCACAAUGGGGGAAACCCUGAUGCAGCGACGCCGCGUGAACGAAGAAGGUAUUCGUAUCGUAAAGUUCUGUCCUAUGGGAAGAUAAUGACAGUACCAUAGAAGAAAGCUCCGGCUAAAUACGUGCCAGCAGCCGCGGUAAUACGUAUGGAGCGAGCGUUGUCCGGAAUUAUUGGGCGUAAAGGGUACGCAGGCGGUUUAAUAAGUCGAAUGUUAAAGAUCGGGGCUCAACCCCGCAAAGCAUUGGAAACUGAUAAACUUGAGUAGUGGAGAGGAAAGUGGAAUUCCUAGUGUAGUGGUGAAAUACGUAGAUAUUAGGAGGAAGACCAGUAGCGAAGGCGACUUUCUGGACACAAACUGACGCUGAGGUACGAAAGCGUGGGGAGCAAACAGG
RNAcentral lists this ribosomal RNA (403 nucleotides) under bacterium. RNAcentral's name for it is "partial 16S ribosomal RNA". It matches the Rfam family "Bacterial small subunit ribosomal RNA", at positions 355 to 776 of the family's 1533-position model. The record is from RNAcentral.